UCUUCCGUAUAUUUUGUGCACUAAGAGAGUGACACAGGGACCGUGCGUGGCUGUGGAUGGGAGUCCCCUCGUGGUGAAGAUCUGCCCAGACAAGUGGGCACUGGCUGGGCUUUUCCUGCCCCAAAAUCAGUGCUCUAAUACCACCAACCAAUAUGUAGCAUACGUCUCCAUACCUCGAAUCAGGGCUGGAAUAGAUGAACAUACCGGAUCUUCAACGGAGUGUACCUCAUUCAAGACUUAAUAAUUUGAAGCUUUUUCAGGACUGGAAUGUCUGGCCUUUCUAGGAAUAGGAAAAUAAUUUAGGCGAAACCUGUUCUGGAUUCUAGACAAGUUUGGUUAAGUUGAUUCUUAUUUCAUGAUUGAAAAAGUUCAAUUACAUAAAGUCAGGCUGGGUACAUUUUUCUUUCUGGAUGGAAAAUGUUCAAUUCGAUGCAAUUUAGGUUAGGUAGAUCCCUUUCUCAGGUCUGAAAUGGUCCAAUUGGAUACCAGUUAGUUUAGACAGAUCUCUGUUUCAGUAACUGAAAGCGUUGCAUCGGAAAUAAGCUAAGAAUAUGCCUAUUCCAGAUCCUUCUCAUGUUCCUGUUUCAUCCAUAAGCUUUCUUUUGUGGAUUUUACUUCUGUAGGAUUAUCAGCAAGUUUGAAAAUGUGAUUUUGGUGUUGGAAAGAAAUCUCCUCUAAAGCACAGUAAAGCUGUUAAAUCCAUUUAAUGGAAUAUGUUGUGUGCUUUGAGUUUUGUUUUAUUGAUAAUUUCACCUUUGUAUAUUGAUUUUUGUUUUAUCUUGCGGUACUUUUGUUGUGAAUGCAAUAAAUGAAUUGAGCACU
Macrobrachium nipponense is the source of this 822-nucleotide long non-coding RNA. RefSeq lists it as uncharacterized. The record is from RefSeq and is a predicted model, not a curated record. Lineage: Eukaryota; Metazoa; Arthropoda; Malacostraca; Decapoda; Palaemonidae. The transcript is spliced from 2 exons.